This 484-nucleotide ribosomal RNA is filed under the name uncultured bacterium. Its description in RNAcentral is "partial 16S ribosomal RNA". It matches the Rfam family "Bacterial small subunit ribosomal RNA", at positions 30 to 507 of the family's 1533-position model. The record is from RNAcentral.
AUUGAACGCUGGCGGCAGGCCUAACACAUGCAAGUCGAGCGGAUGAAGGGAGCUUGCUCCUGGAUUCAGCGGCGGACGGGUGAGUAAUGCCUAGGAAUCUGCCUGGUAGUGGGGGAUAACGUCCGGAAACGGGCGCUAAUACCGCAUACGUCCUGAGGGAGAAAGUGGGGGAUCUUCGGACCUCACGCUAUCAGAUGAGCCUAGGUCGGAUUAGCUAGUUGGUGGGGUAAAGGCCUACCAAGGCGACGAUCCGUAACUGGUCUGAGAGGAUGAUCAGUCACACUGGAACUGAGACACGGUCCAGACUCCUACGGGAGGCAGCAGUGGGGAAUAUUGGACAAUGGGCGAAAGCCUGAUCCAGCCAUGCCGCGUGUGUGAAGAAGGUCUUCGGAAUGUAAAGCACUUUAAGUUGGGAGGAAGGGCAGUAAGUUAAUACCUUGCUGUUUUGACGUUACCAACAGAAUAAGCACCGGCUAACUUCGUG